RNAcentral lists this ribosomal RNA (896 nucleotides) under Clostridium saccharobutylicum. RNAcentral describes it as "partial 23S ribosomal RNA". It matches the Rfam family "Bacterial large subunit ribosomal RNA", at positions 1 to 901 of the family's 2925-position model. Lineage: Bacteria; Bacillati; Bacillota; Clostridia; Eubacteriales; Clostridiaceae. The record is from RNAcentral.
GGUCAAGCUACAAAGGGCGCAUGGUGAAUGCCUUGGCAUCAGGAGCCGAUGAAGGACGCGAUAAGCUGCGAUAAGCUUCGGGUAGACGCACAUAGUCAGAGAUCCGAAGAUUUCCGAAUGAGGAAACUCACAUGGGAAACCCCAUGUAUCAUAAAGUGAAUACAUAGCUUUAUGAAGGUAAACCCAGGGAACUGAAACAUCUAAGUACCUGGAGGAAGAGAAAGAAAAAUCGAUUUUCUUAGUAGCGGCGAGCGAAAAGGAAAGAGCCCAAACCAGAGAUUUAUCUCUGGGGUUGCGGACAGAACAUAACGAGAAAUCAUAGUUAACCGAACACAACUGGAAAGUUGGACCGCAGGGGGUAAUAGUCCCGUAAGUGAAAAUUAUGAUAAUCAGUUCUGCACCAGAGUACCACGAGACACGUGAAACCUUGUGGGAAGCAGGGAGGACCACCUCCCAAGGCUAAAUACUACCUGAUGACCGAUAGUGAAGCAGUACCGUGAGGGAAAGGUGAAAAGAACCCCGGGAGGGGAGUGAAAUAGAACCUGAAACCAUGUGCCUACAACCGAUCAAAGCACCUUAUGUGUGUGAUGAUGUGCUUUUUGUAGAACGAGCCAACGAGUUACGGUAUGUAGCGAGGUUAAGUACUUAAGGUACGGAGCCGAAGGGAAACCGAGUCUUAAUAGGGCGACUAGUUUGCAUGCUGUAGACCCGAAACCGGGUGACCUAUCCAUGGCCAGGUUGAAGCGAGGGUAAAACCUCGUGGAGGACCGAACCACGUUGCUGUUGAAAAAGCAUGGGAUGAGCUGUGGAUAGCGGAGAAAUUCCAAUCGAACUCGGAUAUAGCUGGUUCUCCUCGAAAUAGCUUUAGGGCUAGCGUCGGAAAAUGUGAGUAGUGG